Cryptotermes secundus is the source of this 433-nucleotide long non-coding RNA. RefSeq lists it as uncharacterized. The record is from RefSeq and is a predicted model, not a curated record. Lineage: Eukaryota; Metazoa; Arthropoda; Insecta; Blattodea; Kalotermitidae. The transcript has 3 exons.
CUUCGUCUGAACAUGUUUCCUCUUUCCACAUGGAGAACAAACACGGCAUUUCAUUCUCAUGGCACAAGAGCCAGCAUCUAGUUUAAUGUUUAUUUCAUCAGUGGGACCCCCUCUUAGUGCUUUCGAUGCAGAAUAUUAUGUAAAACAAUGGCUAAAGAAAGGACGUCGACAUGCAGAUUACCAGUCUUGUGCAGCCCCCGCAGAUAGAAGAUCAGUGACUUCAGAAAGCACCGAAAACAUCUGGAAAAUAUUCUAAAGAUAAGUACUCUUAAUGCAUGUGUGACUUUAUUUUAACGAAUGCCAUUUAAACUACUGUAAUAUGUUCGUAGGUCUUAGAUGGAACACAGACUAUAUACAUCACUCGGUAUAUUUUCAUAAUUUAUGUCUAUGAAUUAAAAGGGGAAAACCAUCCCGGUUCUAUUUUCAUUCCACC